Molecule: long non-coding RNA, 1505 nt
Organism: Cavia porcellus (domestic guinea pig)
Lineage: Eukaryota; Metazoa; Chordata; Mammalia; Rodentia; Caviidae
Exons: 3
Source: RefSeq, a predicted model, not a curated record
GUAUAAAACAGUGACAUACAGAGAGAAAUGAACAGGGGGUAUAGUCACCCAUGGUGAGAACCAUGUAAGCUGAAGUGGAAUUACGUGACUACUCAAAUCUCAAGUUCUUUGGUGAAAAUCAAAACUGCUGCAACAGAAUGCAAAGAGAAAGAAAUGUGAAUAUCCUCUAUCACUCUGGACUUUCCAAAGGAUACAGCGUUCAAAAGACUUGGAUAGUGAGAAACCUGAAUGUAAAUAAGGAACAUUCCAUUCUACCUAAGAGUAAAAUAAACUUUUCAGAAACUUGAAGUUCAAAAAGAAUGAGAAAAUAGGAUAAAUAUGUCACUAAUGUCACUUGGAGAUUCAUCAUCCCCUAAAAAGGAACAAAAUGGAAAUUCAGAUAGAUUGAAAUGAAAGUCAAAAAUAGUUCUGCAGUGAGAAAAAGGCAGCGUCUUCUGAGAAUCAGCCAUACUGGAACUCUGGAACCGAUCAAGAAAGUAACCAGCCAUCCUUCCUGGUCGGCAGCGUGAGCUGCAGGCCCGCCAGGGAGAGAGUAACUGUCUCCUGUGAACUCACCUACAGGUGGGCUGAGAAUCAAAGUCUCUUCCCCCCUCUCCCUGAUAGCAACAGGAUGGUUUUAAGUCAGCCAUUGAUAGCAACUAAGGUACAUAAAGCAACUAAAUGCUUGGUUGGUUGAUUAUGCUGACCUGGGACCAGGAUCUAAGCAUCUCAUGGGAGGAUGACUGUAUGUAAUAUAGCAAAUAUAGGGGAUUUCCUUCUAACAUAUCUUUGAUGGCCGAAUUGUUUUCAUUGUUUUGCUUUGUUCUGAUUGUUUUGCCCUAUUCAGUAUUCUGCUUUGAUUGGUUUUAUAGUGUUCUUGGUUUGAUUUGGCUAUAUCUGCUUGAAUGGACCACUAUUGUGACAAUAAGAAGAUAUACUAUGGUACCUGUUACUGUUAUCCUGAUAUCCUGCUUGAAGUUCUGCCCAAUUUCACUGCAUUGUCUUGAUUGGCUUUGUUCUAUACUGUUUUGUUGUAUUUUAUGAUCUUUAAAGUUAAAAAAAAAAUAGUUCUGCAGUGUUUCUCAUUUGGAAGCCUUAAAAAUACUCCCUAAGAAAGUACACACCUGAGCAGCAUGGAGAGGCUCUUGUAGAGAAGAAGCAAUUGCAAUUAUGUCAUAACAGCACAGUUCUAAAUGGCUGGGGGAUUGUGUCAGGAAAAUUUACAAUCACAUUCUACAUGAGAGAACGGCAGUCAUGUGCACUAGGCCCCUACACCUGUGCACAGGCCUGACGUUGGGGUAGAGCAACCCUACUUUGUGAAUCCAUCUGGUAAGGUAUGCGAGAACAACAAAACCUCUUUCUUCAGAGCUUCCACAUGGAUGCAGAAGGUUAAACUGUGGGGUUUUCAGAUACACAGGCUUUGAAAUAUCCACACAGGAUAGUACACUGUGUGGAUAGCAAGUGUAGGGGUUUGUGCAGUAAAAUAAUUAAAACCAAGGACACUGAGCAAAAGACUGAAAAGUGCU